Molecule: ribosomal RNA, 336 nt
Filed under: Dothiorella gregaria
Lineage: Eukaryota; Fungi; Ascomycota; Dothideomycetes; Botryosphaeriales; Botryosphaeriaceae
Description: eukaryotic LSU rRNA
Rfam family: 5.8S ribosomal RNA (bases 1-118)
Source: RNAcentral
UGAAGAACGCAGCGAAAUGCGAUAAGUAGUGUGAAUUGCAGAAUUCAGUGAAUCAUCGAAUCUUUGAACGCACAUUGCGCCCCUUGGUAUUCCAUGGGGCAUGCCUGUUCGAGCGUCAUUUGUACCUUCAAGCUCUGCUUGGUGUUGGGUGUUUGUCUCGCCUUUGCGUGUAGACUCGCCUCAAAACGAUUGGCAGCCGGCGUAUUGAUUUCGGAGCGCAGUACAUCUCGCGCUUUGCACUCAUAACGACAGCGUCCAAAAAGUACAUUUUACACUCUUGACCUCGGAUCAGGUAGGGAUACCCGCUGAACUUAAGCAUAUCAAUAAGCGGAGGAA